RNAcentral lists this ribosomal RNA (492 nucleotides) under uncultured bacterium. RNAcentral's name for it is "partial 16S ribosomal RNA". It matches the Rfam family "Bacterial small subunit ribosomal RNA", at positions 29 to 507 of the family's 1533-position model. The record is from RNAcentral.
AGUGAACGCUGGCGGUAGGCCUAACACAUGCAAGUCGAACGGCAGCACAGUAAGAGCUUGCUCUUACGGGUGGCGAGUGGCGGACGGGUGAGGAAUACAUCGGAAUCUACUUUUUCGUGGGGGAUCACGUAGGGAAACUUACGCUAAUACCGCAUACGACCUACGGGUGAAAGCAGGGGAUCUUCGGACCUUGCGCGAUUGAAUGAGCCGCUGUCGGAUUAGCUAGUUGGCGGGGUAAAGGCCCACCAAGGCGACGAUCCGUAGCUGGUCUGAGAGGAUGAUCAGCCACACUGGAACGGAGACACGGUCCAGACUCCUACGGGAGGCAGCAGUGGGGAAUAUUGGACAAUGGGCGCAAGCCUGAUCCAGCCAUACCGCGUGGGUGAAGAAGGCCUUCGGGUUGUAAAGCCCUUUUGUUGGGAAAGAAAAGCAGCAGGUUAAUACCCCGCUGUUCUGACGGUACCCAAAGAAUAAGCACCGGCUAACUUCGUG